Molecule: long non-coding RNA, 2712 nt
Organism: Phragmites australis (common reed)
Lineage: Eukaryota; Viridiplantae; Streptophyta; Magnoliopsida; Poales; Poaceae
Exons: 5
Source: RefSeq, a predicted model, not a curated record
UCAAACAAUAGCUUCAAUUAUGGACCGUGUAUAAUUUUGCUCCCUGUGUUUGAUGCUAUCCUCUCACAGCUAGCUAUGAUUUUCUCCAUCCUAACACCAUCCAUCUUCUAUAUCUAAGGAGCUGUUUGCCAGUUAUACAUGCAAAUCUGAAAUUUGUAAGCUAAAAAUGUAUGAUUAUAUGGUUUAAAUAUCUAUUUUUAAUCCACGAUAAGAACAAUGGGGUCGUGAUCCCCUCCGCCUUCCCAUGGCCACCCCACUCCCCGCCGCCGCCGCUCCCACGUCCUCGCUCGACAACCCCCGCCAGCGCGGCGUGCCCCCUCCUUCCUCGCUCGCACACGUCUCCCUCACCGCGGGCGCGCACACGCGAGCAGACGACAGCCAUACCCUAUUCGCUAUGAAAUACUGAACUUUUCUUGCCCUCCCUGCCGUACGCCGCCCAUUUCUUCGCAGAAGGGAGCUUCGUGCUCGGCCAGUGCGUCGUGCUGGUGACGGUCGUGAUCGUGUGGAUCUACGCCGAGAUAAUUACGGCGGCCGGUGCCUUCAACGAAAGGGGCCCCGUGACGCAGUUCAGCUGCCGCACCGAUCGAUCUUGGAUCAUCCAGGGCUCACCUCGGUAGGCUAAUUGCCAACGCUUCAUGCUUAAUCAGUGCACAGAUUGUUGAUGUGUUCCCUUCACUUUUCAAUUUUGCAUUGGGUUGCUCUGAUCUGAUUGGGCAUGCUCUGAACUUCUGCUUCGAGCAGGGUCAGGUUUGCCUGUCCGUUUCAGUGGGGUUACCCGAUUUUCCGCUUCCAAAAUUGCUUCCCCUAUAUCUCUGCUUCUUUUGCAUCAGUGAUCAAGGUCUGUGAUUUGUGUUCUCAAGUUAUGUAGUACUUCUUCUAUUUCGGCAGCAAGAAACAUCCUAUGCAAUAAAGAUUUUCGUUUUAAGUGUUAUAGGGGACGAUGCGUAAAACUCCAAAAGGGCCACAACAGCAUCAAAAUAGUUUUACAUAAGCAAAUAUGAUCCUCAGAAAGAAAUAAAACUCACAAAUUACAUCUUCAACAAUGUUUCUAGUUCUUCUAAGGCAGACUAUUAUCUCGCCAUCUCAUGACUGUACUCAGUACAGCACUAGGUAUAUACUGAAAAUGCCCCGUUUUUACUCUGAUCAGUACAUUUCUCUUUCAGUCCACCGGCACAUUAAUUGCGGUGUGAAGAUACACAGGUGCGACAUCCUGCCACGCUUACAGCAUUUAGUCUGUGCUGCAAAUUGCAAUAUCCAGAUAAUCCACAUGAUGUUCCAUUUGUUAGUGCAUUAGGUGCUCCUAAGGAAGCUGGCCACAUUGUUAUGUUGCAACUCUUGGCAAUUUAGUUUAGUGCUGAGCUGUGCCCUACAUGCAUGCUAUAACACUCAUUUAAUGGAUAUGGAUAUUGCCUCAACAAUUACAAAUAGGAAAAAGAUCAAAGGUAACUUAUCUCUGUCCUACAUAUCUAUGUUUUUGGUUUUGGUCCACCUCAGAUUUGUCUUCUUUUGUUCUAUCUGAUUUACUUCUCCAUAUUUCAGAUGAAAGUAAAAUUUCUCUAUUCCCGUUCACUUAAUCCACUGCAAUUAAGCACUGGAUGCUUAGAGUAUAAUUAUUUCAUCUACAAGUAUGAUGAUCGGAUAUGAAAAGGACACUUUUUUCUGGAAGUAGUUUAUUCUCAGUUCAUGUCACAAUUGAUCACUCUUAACUAGGCCAGCAUGUUGUGCCUGCAGGUGUCGUUGUUUCUAUUGAGGAGAUUAAAUCAACUGUUAAUGAGGUUCUAAAGGUGAAUAUAGAAGCUAUAAAGGAGUAACGGUAUCACGUAAAUAGUUUGGCUUCCAAUUCAACUCUCAUGAUAAAUUACGGACAAAUUUAUGAUCCACAAUCUGCAUCAUGUGCCUGCUGUUUUUUUAACAUACUGAUUAAAUCAAUAUGUGCUUAGUUCUUAAUUUAAUAAUCCACUGAUGGAUGACCCAGGGGAGCUAAUCCUUAAUUCUGCCCUUUUUUCUCAGUUGGUAACCUAUGUGGACAGGUUAGGAAAAGGCAUCUGUGGAGUGAUGCUAAGCCGAUAAAGGUUGGCGAGCUGAUGUACCAUUGAAGUUAUGGUUCCUGUAAAAUGCAGGGGAAAAAAAGAGUUACAAUAACCACUGUUGUCCCGCCAUCUGGAAGGAAUUGAACCCUUACACUAUAUUUCCCUAGCCAGAGGAAAACUUUAAGGUUUGAUGACACAACUCUAGAAGCUGAAAAGAACAAAUACAUAGACCACAUUCAGGAAAUCGUCCAUUGGAUGGGAUUGGAGCCGUACAAAGUAACACACACGAGUGACUAUUUCCAAGCUUUGUAUGAGCAUGCUGUUAAGUUAAUACGGAAAGGGCUAGCCUAUGUAAAUCACCAGACCGCACAAGAAAUCAACGAGUACAGGGGAAAGAAGAUGAAUAGUCCAUGGAGGGAUAAGCCAAUUGAAGAGUCGUUGAAAUUAUUUGAAGACAUGCGGCAUGGGUUGAUCGCUGAGGGCGCAGCAACUCUCCGAAUGAAGCGGGACAUGCAGAAUGAGAACAAAAACAUGUCUGACUUAAUAGCAUAUAGAAUAAAAGUAGGUCAAACAACUCAACUGAUAGUCCAUUGGUCACUAUAUGGAACAUUAGAACUCAAUGUUUAUCCCCAUAUAGUUCAACCCUAGACUGGAAGUUUUUUAUUUUUUUAUUUUUAAAAUC